GUACACACCGCCCGUCGCUCCUACCGAUUUCGRGDGGUCCGGYGAGCCUUUUGGACGRGUGCUUGCACUUGAAAAUCAAGCAAACCUUAUCACUUAGAGGAAGGAGAAGUCGUAACAAGGUUUCCGUAGGUGAACCUGCAGAAGGWUCA
This 149-nucleotide ribosomal RNA is filed under the name uncultured eukaryote. RNAcentral describes it as "partial small subunit ribosomal RNA". The record is from RNAcentral.